UGACAGUACUCCUACGGGGAGGCAGCAGUGGGGGAAUAUUGCACAAUGGGCGCAAGCCUGAUGCAGCCAUGCCGCGUGUGUGAAGAAGGACCUUCGGGUUGUAAAGCACUUUCAGUCGUGAGGAAGGUAGUGUAGUUAAUAGCUGCAUUAUUUGACGUUAGCGACAGAAGAAGCACCGGCUAACUCCGUGCCAGCAGCCGCGGUAAUACGGAGGGUGCGAGCGUUAAUCGGAAUUACUGGGCGUAAAGCGCAUGCAGGUGGUUUGUUAAGUCAGAUGUGAAAGCCCGGGGCGUCAACCUCGGAAUAGCAUUUGAAACUAGGCAGACUAGAGUACUGUAGAGGGGGGUAGGAAUUUCAGGUGUAGCGGUGAAAUAGCGUAGAGAUCUGAAGGAAUACCGGUGGCGAAGGCGGCCCCCUGGACAGAUACUGACACUCAGAUGCGAAAGCGUGGGGAGCAAACAGGAUUAGAUACCCUGGUAG
This 480-nucleotide ribosomal RNA is filed under the name uncultured bacterium. RNAcentral describes it as "bacterial SSU rRNA". It matches the Rfam family "Bacterial small subunit ribosomal RNA", at positions 328 to 793 of the family's 1533-position model. The record is from RNAcentral.